UUUCAGCAGGGACGAAGCGCAAGUGACGGUACCUGCAGAAGAAGCACCGGCUAACUACGUGCCAGCAGCCGCGGUAAUACGUAGGGUGCAAGCGUUGUCCGGAAUUACUGGGCGUAAAGAGUUCGUAGGCGGUUUGUCGCGUCGUUUGUGAAAACCAGCAGCUCAACUGCUGGCUUGCAGGCGAUACGGGCAGACUUGAGUACUGCAGGGGAGACUGGAAUUCCUGGUGUAGCGGUGAAAUGCGCAGAUAUCAGGAGGAACACCGGUGGCGAAGGCGGGUCUCUGGGCAGUAACUGACGCUGAGGAACGAAAGCGUGGGUAGCGAACAGGAUUAGAUACCCUGGUAGUCCACGCCGUAAACGGUGGGCGCUAGGUGUGGGUUCCUUCCACGGAAUCCGUGCCGUAGCUAACGCAUUAAGCGCCCCGCCUGGGGAGUACGGCCGCAAGGCUAAAACUCAAAGGAAUUGACGGGGGCCCGCACAAGCGGCGGAGCAUGUGGAUUAAUUCGAUGCAACGCGAAGAACCUUACCUGGGUU
RNAcentral lists this ribosomal RNA (536 nucleotides) under Rhodococcus qingshengii. Its description in RNAcentral is "bacterial SSU rRNA". It matches the Rfam family "Bacterial small subunit ribosomal RNA", at positions 434 to 981 of the family's 1533-position model. The record is from RNAcentral. Lineage: Bacteria; Bacillati; Actinomycetota; Actinomycetes; Mycobacteriales; Nocardiaceae.